UCGGGUAUGGUCUAGUGGCUAAACAUCGCUGACUCUCAACUUUGAGUACUCAGCAGCCCGGGGUUCGAUUCCCCGUUCCCGAG
This 83-nucleotide transfer RNA is filed under the name Immersiella caudata. RNAcentral describes it as "Cercophora caudata tRNA". It matches the Rfam family "tRNA". Rfam says of the family: Transfer RNA (tRNA) molecules are approximately 80 nucleotides in length. Their secondary structure includes four short double-helical elements and three loops (D, anti-codon, and T loops). Further hydrogen bonds mediate the characteristic L-shaped molecular structure. tRNAs have two regions of fundamental functional importance: the anti-codon, which is responsible for specific mRNA codon recognition, and the 3' end, to which the tRNAs corresponding amino acid is attached (by aminoacyl-tRNA synthetases). tRNAs cope with the degeneracy of the genetic code in two manners: having more than one tRNA (with a specific anti-codon) for a particular amino acid; and 'wobble' base-pairing, i.e. permitting non-standard base-pairing at the 3rd anti-codon position. Lineage: Eukaryota; Fungi; Ascomycota; Sordariomycetes; Sordariales; Lasiosphaeriaceae. The record is from Rfam by way of RNAcentral.